Molecule: ribosomal RNA, 465 nt
Filed under: Vreelandella stevensii
Lineage: Bacteria; Pseudomonadati; Pseudomonadota; Gammaproteobacteria; Oceanospirillales; Halomonadaceae
Description: partial 16S ribosomal RNA
Rfam family: Bacterial small subunit ribosomal RNA
Source: RNAcentral
CCUACGGGUGGCUGCAGUGGGGAAUAUUGGACAAUGGGGGCAACCCUGAUCCAGCCAUGCCGCGUGUGUGAAGAAGGCCCUCGGGUUGUAAAGCACUUUCAGUGAGGAAGAACGCCUGGUGGUUAAUACCCAUCAGGAAAGACAUCACUCACAGAAGAAGCACCGGCUAACUCCGUGCCAGCAGCCGCGGUAAUACGGAGGGUGCGAGCGUUAAUCGGAAUUACUGGGCGUAAAGCGCGCGUAGGUGGCUUGAUAAGCCGGUUGUGAAAGCCCCGGGCUCAACCUGGGAACGGCAUCCGGAACUGUCAAGCUAGAGUGCAGGAGAGGAAGGUAGAAUUCCCGGUGUAGCGGUGAAAUGCGUAGAGAUCGGGAGGAAUACCAGUGGCGAAGGCGGCCUUCUGGACUGACACUGACACUGAGGUGCGUAAGCGUGGGUAGCAAACAGGAUUAGAUACCCUGGUAGUC